This 623-nucleotide ribosomal RNA is filed under the name Streptomyces sp. ANA3007. RNAcentral's name for it is "bacterial SSU rRNA". It matches the Rfam family "Bacterial small subunit ribosomal RNA", at positions 61 to 701 of the family's 1533-position model. Lineage: Bacteria; Bacillati; Actinomycetota; Actinomycetes; Kitasatosporales; Streptomycetaceae. The record is from RNAcentral.
GUCGAACGAUGAACCACUUCGGUGGGGAUUAGUGGCGAACGGGUGAGUAACACGUGGGCAAUCUGCCCUUCACUCUGGGACAAGCCCUGGAAACGGGGUCUAAUACCGGAUAACACUCUCGCAGGCAUCUGCGAGGGUUAAAAGCUCCGGCGGUGAAGGAUGAGCCCGCGGCCUAUCAGCUUGUUGGUGAGGUAAUGGCUCACCAAGGCGACGACGGGUAGCCGGCCUGAGAGGGCGACCGGCCACACUGGGACUGAGACACGGCCCAGACUCCUACGGGAGGCAGCAGUGGGGAAUAUUGCACAAUGGGCGAAAGCCUGAUGCAGCGACGCCGCGUGAGGGAUGACGGCCUUCGGGUUGUAAACCUCUUUCAGCAGGGAAGAAGCGAAAGUGACGGUACCUGCAGAAGAAGCGCCGGCUAACUACGUGCCAGCAGCCGCGGUAAUACGUAGGGCGCAAGCGUUGUCCGGAAUUAUUGGGCGUAAAGAGCUCGUAGGCGGCUUGUCACGUCGAUUGUGAAAGCCCGAGGCUUAACCUCGGGUCUGCAGUCGAUACGGGCUAGCUAGAGUGUGGUAGGGGAGAUCGGAAUUCCUGGUGUAGCGGUGAAAUGCGCAGAUAUCAGG